UCCAGCGGUAGUCAGCUGUCCAGGGCUCCCUAUGCCUGUGAUAGUGUUACACAGCUGGGAGAUGAAGACAUUGCCACCCCAUGCUUGCUGUCACUGUCACCGUUCUGGUGCCAUGUGACACUAGUAUCUGGCAAUGUGGUGCUUCCUUGAGAGUGCGCUGACAUUAGCACAGGAUGUUUAGCGCUAGAAUGGGAGCUUACAGU
This is a small nucleolar RNA of Bombina bombina (fire-bellied toad), 203 nucleotides long. RefSeq annotates it as small nucleolar RNA SNORA74. The transcript has a single exon. NCBI's taxonomy places the organism in Eukaryota, Metazoa, Chordata, Amphibia, Anura, Bombinatoridae. The record is from RefSeq and is a predicted model, not a curated record.